RNAcentral lists this ribosomal RNA (292 nucleotides) under uncultured bacterium. RNAcentral describes it as "partial 16S ribosomal RNA". It matches the Rfam family "Bacterial small subunit ribosomal RNA", at positions 505 to 796 of the family's 1533-position model. The record is from RNAcentral.
GUGUCAGCAGCCGCGGUAAGACGGAGGGUGCAAGCGUUGCUCGGAAUCAUUGGGCGUAAAGGGUGCGUAGGCGGCUUUUUAAGUCUGACGUGAAAGCCCAAGGCUUAGCCUUGGAAGUGCGCCAGAAACUGAAAGGCUAGAGUGCCGGAGGGGAGAGUGGAAUUCCUGGUGUAGCGGUGAAAUGCGUAGAUAUCAGGAGGAAUACCGGUGGCGAAAGCGACUCUCUGGACGGUAACUGACGCUGAGGCACGAAAGCGUGGGGAGCAAACAGGAUUAGAAACCCCCGUAGUCC